Molecule: long non-coding RNA, 2086 nt
Organism: Papaver somniferum (opium poppy)
Lineage: Eukaryota; Viridiplantae; Streptophyta; Magnoliopsida; Ranunculales; Papaveraceae
Exons: 5
Source: RefSeq, a predicted model, not a curated record
CCAGAGUGCUUUCUUGGGUUCCGAUUCACCUCUCUUCAUGUUGUUGUGAUCUUUUCGCUUCAACAUCCUGAUUCCGUAACGAUGCAUCUCAAAAUAAAUAAAAAAUCGCUCAUCCUUGCAUUGGAUCAGGUCUAUAAAAUGGCUAAUCCGAAUCGCAAUGAACAUCAAUUCCAGUCGAAAAUAUCGGAAUGGGGUGAAUUACAACCCAUAAUAAUGGGUUAGGAUAACUUUGUCUAUACUUUAAGGGGUUUAGGUACAUGAGAUAAGAAAAGGUCUAAAGAACAGACUAAAUGGCAUCUCAAAUCAAUAUCACACCACAGCAGGUACCAUCUUCAGCUGCCCAGGACAAGUUGAAGAGUUUACGAUCACUUGACGAAGGAAAAUCAAGUGGCGUUACUGUUCGUGUUGCCAGGAAACGGGAAGAAUUGGAUUUUAUGUCCGCCAAUGACGUUACCAGCGUCGAUACGGUUAUUGUUGAUGAGCAGAUUGCUUCAAUUGUUCUUUCCCCGUAUAAACACGAGGUCAAGGUGUAUUUCCGUUUGAUAUUUCUAAAAUGUACCCAUCUAUUGGAGCCACUUCAGAUAAUGGAAAGGCACGCAUAAGCUAACACAGUUGUCAAAGGAAUUGAAGGUACCCAUGUAUUCGGAUUGGUUGUAUAUGCCUAUUCUUUAUUUCCUAUUAUUUAUUCAUCACCUGUCAAACUUUUGUUUAAGAACUACAACAUCCAUUAUGCCUAUUUUGCUUUUGUUUAGCAAAUUAUUCUUCCCUUUUUAGAUACCGCCUAUGGUUCUCGCACACACACAUAUACAUUUUUGGAAUUUAAGGUGCAUCAAGAAGUUGAGUGUUUAAUAGACGAGCAUCCAAUACCGCAAGGAAACUUAAGAGGAAACAAAGCCUUUUAUUUCUUUUUCUUUUCAUGGUUUUCAUUGUUUACGGGAACUCACAAAAAUUUCGUUUCAUGUUUUCGCCUUUAAAAUUAUUAGGUUUAUAUAUCUAUGGGAUAUAUGGUAAGAUUUCCAUGUUUUCGCCUUUAAAGUUAUUAAGUUUAUAAAUCUCUGAUAUGUAGUCAAAUUUCCUUCAACUAGACAUGGCAUAUCAAGAUAGAAAUUAGAUUUGCUAACUAAUGAAGGAGACCUGAUAUUUCAUAGUUACCAAGAAAUGAAGAAGCAGGCUUAAUAAAUGCUAUCACAGAUUAGCUAAAGAUCUUUUGUUCUAACUAGCAUGCUACAUGCAUUUAAGGCUUCAUAUUUUGGUCAAUAAUUUAUGGUUAUGGUUCUAUUUCCCUUAGAAUCCUUUUAAGUCGGCGUGGAACCUGAUGGAAUUCUUUAAAGGUUAAAACUUUCUUAUAUUCAUUUUUUUUAGUUAAGAGUGGCCAUGGCGUCAUGAGUAAUGUAGAUCCUGUUGCACAACAAAAUUUUCAGCUUAUUUGGAUACGGGAUUUCCUUAAUUUGAUCUCUGUGUAUACUGUAACACCAGAAAGAGUAUCAACCUAUGUGUAUUCACUUUUUUUUUAUGUGCAUUACAAUGUUUCAGUAUUUAGAUUAAUUAUUGUUAUUACUGUCGGAAGAGGAUGAACUUCUAGGGGGUUACAAGAAACAAGAGUACAACUUCUGGGGGUUACAGUAUUUGGAUUCUACGCUAAAAUUGUCAGACCAUUCAGGUGCUUCUCCUUCCUCAAUACAUAGAAACACUCUAUGGUAUCCCAAAUCAGUCGCAGCUCAAGUUACUAAGAGAUCGGUAGAGGUGAACUUCAUUGUCUACCAAGGAAAGAGGUUGCUCACCAAAAACCACAGCUUAUUUUACAAGUAUCGCUGCCAACAGGAUCGAUGUAUACUCAAGUGAUUCCAUCAACUGGGUUAGUUAUCAUUCUGGAGGCAUGUAACAUUUUUAGCACAGAGAUUAAGAUUUAUCUGUCGAUCCCAGUAUGCAGUAGGAGUUGAUGAUAUCCAGUAAUUCCUCAUGUAUCCGUCUAACAUGAUAUGUAUUACCUAUGUCCAUCUAAGCUUCAUAACUGCGUAGCUUAUUUAUAGAUAUUAUGAAGCAUAGUUCGAUAAAUAGUGGUAAAUAUAAUGAUAUAAUUCGUCUG